Molecule: long non-coding RNA, 818 nt
Organism: Sesamum indicum (sesame)
Lineage: Eukaryota; Viridiplantae; Streptophyta; Magnoliopsida; Lamiales; Pedaliaceae
Source: RefSeq, a predicted model, not a curated record
UGAGCCUGAGGAAGCGGCGGACGCUGAGUUCCUCGGGAUGCACGUGAAUCAUACAGAGUCACCCUACAGUUCAUUGGCAAGUUCAUGAAAGACUACAGCCAAAGAAUUUCAAAUCCCUCGAUUGGGAUUGAGACUCAGGUGGCACGGUGUGAAAGGAGGACGACCGUUCUUGCAUGGGAUUUCUGUUCUCCUUAAUAAUUAAACCAUAUUUCUGAGGGCAGUCGACUUCCUCUAAAUUUAUGGAAACAAAGUGCAAAACCGUCAUGGCUUAUCAGUGAAAUAUCUGCUGAGACUCAGCAGGUUUACUGAAAACUGAACUUUCAUCUACCUACAUGAAGAGCCUCAAGAAAUGUGAAAAAAUUUGUCUUGGAAGCUUUUUGUCUGAAGUGGCCAGGAGAGCUCUUGACAAUCCAGUUUAAAAGGACACGGUCUUCCCACCAAUUUCCUUGAACAGCAGCACGACAAAGUCAUACGAAUGUAGCUGCUACGUUCACCACAUACAUAUGAUGCUAUGCUGAAGUUAUGACUGUUAGCAGCAAACUAGUGAUUGAUUUGCGUCUCUUUCACCUUUGACAGGAUACUGAUGCUUGUAGUAUUAUGAUUUCUUGACAGAUGUGUAUAUGAAUGUGCCUAUGGACUUAAACGGACCCUUCUGCUGUUUUGGGACUAUUAGUGUAAUGAAUGGGAAUGUUACACCGUAUCUUAACUUAGUUUUCGAUCUCUGUUCAUACGUUAUAUCGCUUCCCUGCUGUGAUAAUUUAGCCAUGCUGGUUUAAGAUUCUGAAAAACGAACAUAAUUUGACGCCUCUGAUUGCCAU